This 1343-nucleotide ribosomal RNA is filed under the name uncultured bacterium. Its description in RNAcentral is "16S ribosomal RNA". It matches the Rfam family "Bacterial small subunit ribosomal RNA", at positions 28 to 1378 of the family's 1533-position model. The record is from RNAcentral.
GACGAACGCUGGCGGCGUGCUUAACACAUGCAAGUCGAACGGAAAGGCCCUGCUUUUGUGGGGUGCUCGAGUGGCGAACGGGUGAGUAACACGUGAGUAACCUGCCCUUGACUUUGGGAUAACUUCAGGAAACUGGGGCUAAUACCGGAUAGGAGCUCCUGCUGCAUGGCGGGGGUUGGAAAGUUUCGGCGGUUGGGGAUGGACUCGCGGCUUAUCAGCUUGUUGGUGGGGUAGUGGCUUACCAAGGCUUUGACGGGUAGCCGGCCUGAGAGGGUGACCGGCCACAUUGGGACUGAGAUACGGCCCAGACUCCUACGGGAGGCAGCAGUGGGGAAUAUUGCACAAUGGGCGGAAGCCUGAUGCAGCAACGCCGCGUGCGGGAUGACGGCCUUCGGGUUGUAAACCGCUUUCGCCUGUGACGAAGCGUGAGUGACGGUAAUGGGUAUAGAAGCACCGGCUAACUACGUGCCAGCAGCCGCGGUGAUACGUAGGGUGGGAGCGUUGUCCGGAUUUAUUGGGCGUAAAGGGCUCGUAGGUGGUUGAUCGCGUCGGAAGUGUAAUCUUGGGGCUUAACCCUGAGCGUGCUUUCGAUACGGGUUGACUUGAGGAAGGUAGGGGAGAAUGGAAUUCCUGGUGGAGCGGUGGAAUGCGCAGAUAUCAGGAGGAACACCAGUGGCGAAGGCGGUUCUCUGGGCCUUUCCUGACGCUGAGGAGCGAAAGCGUGGGGAGCGAACAGGCUUAGAUACCCUGGUAGUCCACGCUGUAAACGGUGGGUACUAGGUGUGGGGUCCAUUCCACGGGUUCCGUGCCGUAGCUAACGCUUUAAGUACCCCGCCUGGGGAGUACGGCCGCAAGGCUAAAACUCAAAGGAAUUGACGGGGCCCCGCACAAGCGGCGGAGCAUGCGGAUUAAUUCGAUGCAACGCGUAGAACCUUACCUGGGUUUGACAUGGAUCGGGAGUGCUCAGAGAUGGGUGUGCCUCUUUUGGGGUCGGUUCACAGGUGGUGCAUGGCUGUCGUCAGCUCGUGUCGUGAGAUGUUGGGUUAAGUCCCGCAACGAGCGCAACCCUUGUUCACUGUUGCCAGCACGUUAUGGUGGGGACUCAGUGGAGACCGCCGGGGUCAACUCGGAGGAAGGUGGGGAUGACGUCAAGUCAUCAUGCCCCUUAUGUCCAGGGCUUCACGCAUGCUACAAUGGCUGGUACAGAGAGUGGCGAGCCUGUGAGGGUGAGCGAAUCUCGGAAAGCCGGUCUCAGUUCGGAUUGGGGUCUGCAACUCGACCUUAUGAAGUCGGAGUCGCUAGUAAUCGCAGAUCAGCAACGCUGCGGUGAAUACGUUCCCGGG